AAAAAUUCUUAGCCUUUUGGCUGAGUUCACAUUUAAUAUCUGUUCUUACCAGUUUAACAUCUGAUAUGUCUUAUUUCCAAAGUCCUGUGUGUAUAGGGGCUUAGUAACU
RNAcentral lists this small nuclear RNA (109 nucleotides) under Microcebus murinus (gray mouse lemur). RNAcentral's name for it is "U2 spliceosomal RNA (ENSMICG00000025237.3)". It matches the Rfam family "U2 spliceosomal RNA". Rfam says of the family: U2 is a small nuclear RNA (snRNA) component of the spliceosome (involved in pre-mRNA splicing). Complementary binding between U2 snRNA (in an area lying towards the 5' end but 3' to hairpin I) and the branchpoint sequence (BPS) of the intron results the bulging out of an unpaired adenosine, on the BPS, which initiates a nucleophilic attack at the intronic 5' splice site, thus starting the first of two transesterification reactions that mediate splicing. Lineage: Eukaryota; Metazoa; Chordata; Mammalia; Primates; Cheirogaleidae. The record is from RNAcentral.